AACUUAUCUGUUCCGGUAAGAGUUCACGUAAAUUUCAAAUAUUUCUUCAUUCUCUAGGAUGUUAAGUUCUCCCGUAAUGGCAAUUUACCCUUGCGGUUUAAAUAAAUCCAUCUAAUCUAUAUCAAUAUAUAAUUUAUUAGUGAGUAACUAGAUAUGGACCAAUUUAAUUUGUUCUCACCGGAACAGAUAAGUUUGUGGCACUAUACAUGGGACUCGUUUUAUUUGUGUGAUUCGAUAUAAGCCACAGUGACACUGAAACUUUUCUGCUCUGUGGAAAUAUGUAUUUCAUUCGUUCUUUUUUUUGAAAAUCCCUCAUUUGUGGCUCUUGUUUGUAUUGUCUAUGACAAUUUAAAUGUCACCAAACGUCAAAUUUGAAGAAAAUUUUCGCUGUUUGGUGCGUUCGAGUGAAAUAUUUUGGUAAUAUUACCAUUGCAUUUUUGCAUUGCGCUACCCCAUGGGCUCAUAUUGGCUCAUUAACUACUUUCUUGAGUUUCUUGGACAUCGUCACAUGAAAUAAUAUACGACCGAGCUUGCUCCCGACCAAGCACGAUCAGAUUCCUUGGGAGUUCUUCGGCAGACGAUUUCUAUGCACCGGCUCCAUGAGACGAAGAACAAAACAGCAUGCCACCUGACUGAUGACCCACCCACCGUUUACCCGGCCCCAGGAGCUAGAAGGCCUUGAGACAAAAGCUCGGGCAGGAUCCUGACGGGCGCAAACGAAUAUCAUCUACUAUGCUUGUCCCACGGCCUGACUGAAUAAUAUUUAUAUAAUCAAUGGAAGGAAAAAACAGUAGAACAUUGAAAUUGGCUCGUAAGCAAGACGGAAGAUGGUCAAAACCGGUCAGAAAAUGAUGGCCUAGACACGGUUGGAGAGCUCUUGUUGGCAGAAACCACCUGAAGAUGGUCAGAUGACAUCAGCAACCUUG
Molecule: non-coding RNA, 926 nt
Organism: Plutella xylostella (diamondback moth)
Lineage: Eukaryota; Metazoa; Arthropoda; Insecta; Lepidoptera; Plutellidae
Source: RefSeq, a predicted model, not a curated record